CCCUUAGAUGUUCUGGGCCGCACGCGCGCUACACUGAUACGUUCAACGAGCUCCUUGACCGAGAGGCCCGGGUAAUCUUUGAAACCGUAUCGUGAUGGGGAUAGAACAUUGCAAUUAUUGUUCUUCAACGAGGAAUGCCUAGUAAGCGCGAGUCAUCAUCUCGCGUUGAUUACGUCCCUGCCCUUUGUACACACCGCCCGUCGCUCCUACCGAUUGAACGUGCUGGUGAAGCGUUAGGACUGGAGGUCUUGGGCCGGUUCGUCUGCCCAUAGCUUCGGGAAUUUCGUUGAACCCUCCCGUUUAGAGGAAGGAGAAGUCGUAACA
Molecule: ribosomal RNA, 324 nt
Filed under: uncultured eukaryote
Lineage: Eukaryota
Description: partial 18S ribosomal RNA
Rfam family: Eukaryotic small subunit ribosomal RNA
Source: RNAcentral